Molecule: transfer RNA, 68 nt
Filed under: Marmota monax (woodchuck)
Lineage: Eukaryota; Metazoa; Chordata; Mammalia; Rodentia; Sciuridae
Description: tRNA.Val
Source: RNAcentral
GUUAUAGCUCAGUGGUAGAGUGCUUGCCUCACACGUGUGAGGCACUGGGUUCCAUCCUCAGCACCACA